UCUUAGCUAAACUACUCCACUUGCUAUUCUAUAACGUUAUACUCGUACAUCGUAUGUCCGAUGUAAGAGUAUAGCUUCUUCUUUGUGUUUUUCCUUCUUAAUCACAGAAGCAUGUGAUGUUCAUGUAUUCUAAAUCGGUGGAUCUACGCUAUGUGGCAGUAGUGAAAAGCCUAAGUUAGGUUUUCAGAUCUAUGGGAUUCUAUUUUUCCGAUGCUAGUUUUAUGUGUUAACUGUUGUUUUUUGGUCGUCGAUCUACUACAAUCCAACGUUGAGUGAUUAUGUGGAUCAAGAUUGAAGACAGUAGACCUUCUUUUUCACUUCAGAUAAGUAACUGAACACUCAAUUCGUGUUUUUGGUUUUCUAUUCUUUAUCGCAAUUUGUAUUUUAUUUUUCAGAUUCAUUUUUGUUUUUCCGAUUUUAGCAGUUGAUUUUCUAAACUAAUUGGUUAGUUUUUGAAUUUCAGGGAUGAAGUUUUUCGAACUGUACCCAGAAUACAACGCAAAUACACUUCUCCUAGACACUUAAAGGAUGUGUGUCUUUGAAGUAAUAGGAUAUUGGGUUAAAAAAUGAGAGUUCGCUAUGGUAUCCAGAGCAACCCAGAUUUAACAAAUGUGCAGGUGUUCUCAAUUCUAAGCCUCACCUUAAUCUUCAAGCAACUGUGUUGUUCCUCUUCAACAGCAAUAUGCAUAGAUGGCAUGGUAUCUUCACACAGAUUUUGGUUCUUCGUUUCUAAUUUGCGGGUGGUUCAAACCGGGGAGAUGGUGAACUUGGGGGUGAAUAUUGAUAUGAAGGAGCUUUAUAUAGAGGCUGAAAUUUGUUCUCCAAUUUUGAAUAUUGUCUUGGAACUAUGAAUCUUGCUGGAAACGUUUGAAGACCCAAGACUACAUUAAAGAGAUUGUUUUUUCGAAGCAUUU
Ipomoea nil (Japanese morning glory) is the source of this 914-nucleotide long non-coding RNA. RefSeq lists it as uncharacterized. The record is from RefSeq and is a predicted model, not a curated record. The transcript is spliced from 3 exons. Lineage: Eukaryota; Viridiplantae; Streptophyta; Magnoliopsida; Solanales; Convolvulaceae.